RNAcentral lists this ribosomal RNA (291 nucleotides) under Oxyrrhis marina. RNAcentral describes it as "partial Bacterial large subunit ribosomal RNA". It matches the Rfam family "Bacterial large subunit ribosomal RNA", at positions 194 to 535 of the family's 2925-position model. Lineage: Eukaryota; Dinophyceae; Oxyrrhinales; Oxyrrhinaceae. The record is from RNAcentral.
UGAAACAUCUCAGUAGCCGGAGGAAAGGACAUCAACAGAGACUCCCCUAGUAGUGGCGAGCGAACGGGGACCAGGCCAGUGCCGAUCAUGAUUGAACCAGAACCAUCUGGAAAGUUGGACCAGAGCGGGUGACAGUCCCGUAUGGGUAGGAGAUUGAUCGGACUUGAGUAGGGCGGGGCACGUGAAACCCUGUCUGAACGUAGGGGGACCACCCUCUAAGCCUAAGUACUCCCAUGUGACCGAUAGUGAACAAGUACCGUGAGGGAAAGGUGAAAAGCACCCCGAUGAGGG